CAGGUCGGGUCGCAGGGGAAGUAGAUUCAGCAGGGAUACUGUUAGAGUUAUUGUUAAUAUAUUUAUUAUGGACUUGCAACAAAGCCAAAGUAUUAUCCUUGCUUCGAAGAAUCUUGUUCACAGGACGGGCUCCUACACACAGAUGCAAGAGUAUCUUCCUAGAAGUGGCCAAGGACAACUCCAUCAUAACCAAAGAAUGUGCCACAUCAUCACCAAAAACUGUAGCUUUGUUCAUUUCAUCUGCUCACCCCUCCUUUUGACCUUGUGUGUUUUCUAAUAAUAAUAAAAAAAAGAGUACAUGAGAGGCUGGUUCAGAACGUGUUUGGAGACUGUAACUGGCCUGUCUCUCACGUCCUCCUGAUCAGAAGAAAGACGACUUGUUGUCCGUUAUUUGUGCAACCAUUCCAGCAAGUUAGGUGAUAAACCUAACAUUUUCUUGGUCCUUCGAGCCGGAUUCCAAGAUACCCGAGGAUUGUUACAGUUAAAUUCCGUGUAACGAGGGCGGACUCGUCUGUACAUUAAAAGAUACAGUGAUCACAAAACACCGUUCUUUGAUACCUGUCGAGAUGGAGAGGCUACUUACGUUAUGAACUGAGGAACAGAUUCCUUCGCAACAGCUAAGCACAGCCUCCCCUUCUUCUUCUCCAUCCACCUCUCAGAAGUAAUGCUCACCCCAAAGUACGGAUUUGAGACGGCGGCACUCAAGCGACAACAGGAAGCAGAACUGGAGGCGGCAGAAAUAAAGAUGCUGAGGUUCUCGCUUGGAGUGAACAGGUUGGAUAGGAUUAGAAAUGAGCUCAUUGGAGGGACAGCCAAAGUUGGAUGUUUUGGAGACAAGGUUCGGGAAAGCUGACUUCAAUGGUUUGGACAUGUCCAGAGGUGAGAGAGAAAA
This is a long non-coding RNA of Syngnathoides biaculeatus (alligator pipefish), 892 nucleotides long. RefSeq lists it as uncharacterized. The record is from RefSeq and is a predicted model, not a curated record. The transcript has 3 exons. NCBI's taxonomy places the organism in Eukaryota, Metazoa, Chordata, Actinopteri, Syngnathiformes, Syngnathidae.